UACGAAGGGGGCUAGCGUUGCUCGGAAUUACUGGGCGUAAAGCGCACGUAGGCGGCUUUCUAAGUCGGGGUGAAUCCUGGAGCUCAACUCCAGAACUGCCUUCGAUACUGGAGAGCUCGAGUCCGGGAGAGGUGAGUGGAACUGCGAGUGUAGAGGUGAAAUUCGUAGAUAUUCGCAAGAACACCAGUGGCGAAGGCGGCUCACUGGUCCGGUACUGACGCUGAGGUGCGAAAGCGUGGGAG
RNAcentral lists this ribosomal RNA (242 nucleotides) under uncultured bacterium. RNAcentral's name for it is "partial 16S ribosomal RNA". It matches the Rfam family "Bacterial small subunit ribosomal RNA", at positions 524 to 767 of the family's 1533-position model. The record is from RNAcentral.